Molecule: unclassified non-coding RNA, 213 nt
Filed under: uncultured Trechisporales
Lineage: Eukaryota; Fungi; Basidiomycota; Agaricomycetes; Trechisporales
Description: sequence contains ITS2
Source: RNAcentral
AGUCAUCAACCCCUCCCGUUUUUGUGCGGAGAGGAAGGUUGGAUCUGGGGGCCUGCCGCCGUCCAGGCGGCUCCCCUCAAAUGUGUCGGUUGGGCCUGCGGGUCGAACUCGGGUCGGGCGUUGUACCAUCCUCGCUUUGGUCCCGAGACCGCUCUCGCUUUGUCGAGCCCUUCCCAGACCGCCUUUUGAGUGGUGGUCAAGUCAAACUUUGAA